This 111-nucleotide ribosomal RNA is filed under the name Streptococcus suis. The record is from RNAcentral. Lineage: Bacteria; Bacillati; Bacillota; Bacilli; Lactobacillales; Streptococcaceae.
GACGAUAGCCUAGGAGAUACACCUGUACCCAUGCCGAACACAGCAGUUAAGCCCUAGAACGCCUGAAGUAGUUGGGGGUUGCCCCCUGUUAGAUACGGUAGUCGCUUAGCA